GUUUACCUAAUGACUAAUUUAUUUAAAGUUGUAACCUUUAAUUGUUUUUAGUUAAGUAAAUA
RNAcentral lists this transfer RNA (62 nucleotides) under Acanthogyrus cheni. RNAcentral's name for it is "tRNA-Tyr". The record is from RNAcentral. Lineage: Eukaryota; Metazoa; Acanthocephala; Eoacanthocephala; Gyracanthocephala; Quadrigyridae.